Molecule: ribosomal RNA, 253 nt
Filed under: uncultured bacterium
Lineage: Bacteria
Description: partial 16S ribosomal RNA
Rfam family: Bacterial small subunit ribosomal RNA
Source: RNAcentral
UACGGGGGGGGCAAGCGUUGUUCGGAAUUACUGGGCGUAAAGGGCGCGUAGGCGGCUUUUCAAGUCGGGCGUGAAAUCUCCGGGCUUAACCCGGAAGGGUCGUUCGAUACUGUUGAGCUAGAGUGUGGAAGAGGCAACUAGAAUUCCGUGUGUAGCGGUGAAAUGCGUAGAUAUACGGAGGAAUACCUGAGGCGAAGGUAGGUCUCUGGGCAUUAACUGACGCUGAGGAGCGAAAGCAUGGGGAGCGAACAGG